RNAcentral lists this transfer RNA (71 nucleotides) under Salipiger mucosus DSM 16094. It matches the Rfam family "tRNA". Rfam says of the family: Transfer RNA (tRNA) molecules are approximately 80 nucleotides in length. Their secondary structure includes four short double-helical elements and three loops (D, anti-codon, and T loops). Lineage: Bacteria; Pseudomonadati; Pseudomonadota; Alphaproteobacteria; Rhodobacterales; Roseobacteraceae. The record is from Rfam by way of RNAcentral.
UCCGCCUUAGCUUAGUGGGAAAGCACCAGAUUGUGGCUCUGGGGACUCAGGUUCAAUUCCUGGAGGCGGGA